UGGGAACCCAUGAGUGAAUAACCCAACAGA
This 30-nucleotide non-coding RNA is filed under the name Mus musculus (house mouse). The record is from RNAcentral. Lineage: Eukaryota; Metazoa; Chordata; Mammalia; Rodentia; Muridae.